CUGGCUCAGAACGAACGCUGGCGGCAAGCUUAACACAUGCAAGUCGAACGGACCGUAUACGCAGCUUGCUGCGUGUAUGGUUAGUGGCAGACGGGUGAGUAAUGCAUAGGAAUCUACCUAGUAGUAUGGGAUAGCCACUAGAAAUGGUGGGUAAUACUGUAUAAUCCCUGCGGGGGAAAGAUUUAUCGCUAUUAGAUGAGCCUAUGUCAGAUUAGCUAGUUGGUGGGGUAAUGGCCUACCAAGGCGGUGAUCUGUAGCUGGUCUGAGAGGAUGAUCAGCCACACUGGAACUGAGACACGGUCCAGACUCCUACGGGAGGCAGCAGUGGGGAAUAUUGGACAAUGGGCGCAAGCCUGAUCCAGCUAUGCCGCGUGAGUGAGGAAGGCCUUAGGGUUGUAAAACUCUUUCAGUAGGGAAGAUAAUGACGGUACCUACAGAAGAAGUCC
This 446-nucleotide ribosomal RNA is filed under the name uncultured Anaplasma sp. Its description in RNAcentral is "bacterial SSU rRNA". It matches the Rfam family "Bacterial small subunit ribosomal RNA", at positions 19 to 493 of the family's 1533-position model. Lineage: Bacteria; Pseudomonadati; Pseudomonadota; Alphaproteobacteria; Rickettsiales; Anaplasmataceae. The record is from RNAcentral.